CGGAAGGAUCAUUAAAGCUCUAGUUCAUAGAUAGGCUAGCAGCAAUGUUUGGACGAAGGUCAGGAACUGCGAAGAGGGUUGGGCGGCUCGGUAAGCUCCCAUCAAUCGUUUGACGCAGGACCUGCAUUAUUGAUUUGUGAGCGUAAUCGGCAAAUGCUGUAUUGAAAGGUUGAUAAACACAACCGAUGACGAUGGAUGACUCGGCUAUCACGUCGAUGAAGAGCGUAGCGAAGGGCGAUACCUAGUGCGAUCUGUAGCUGCGUGACGCAUCGAGUUCUUGAACGCAUUGUGCCUUGGGGCGCGAGCCUCAAGGUGCAUCUGGUUGGGUGUCCGUAAAUACUCAAAUGCCAAAGCUUAACUGCCUUGGCAACGUGGGGGCGCAUCAGCAAUGAAGCAUCCCUCAAGUCCUUUGUUAGCUGCGAGCAUGGCAGUAGUCACAUGCGAAAGUAUUGUUGGCGAACCUUGUUUUGUUGGCGAAGGCUUGCCUUCCCUUACAUAAGGGAGGCGCGGUUCUUUGUGACCGCAAGUAUUACUUUUCGGACCUCAACUCAGGUGUGAUUACCCGCUAAACUUAAGCAUAUCAAUAAGCGGAGGAA
Molecule: ribosomal RNA, 596 nt
Filed under: uncultured organism
Description: eukaryotic LSU rRNA
Rfam family: 5.8S ribosomal RNA (bases 181-332)
Source: RNAcentral